Molecule: ribosomal RNA, 498 nt
Filed under: uncultured bacterium
Lineage: Bacteria
Description: partial 16S ribosomal RNA
Rfam family: Bacterial small subunit ribosomal RNA
Source: RNAcentral
AUUGAACGCUGGCGGCAUGCCUUACACAUGCAAGUCGAACGGUAACAGGUCUUCGGAUGCUGACGAGUGGCGAACGGGUGAGUAAUACAUCGGAACGUGCCCGAUCGUGGGGGAUAACGAGGCGAAAGCUUUGCUAAUACCGCAUAAGAUCUAUGGAUGAAAGCAGGGGACCGCAAGGCCUUGCGCGAACGGAGCGGCCGAUGGCAGAUUAGGUAGUUGGUGGGGUAAAGGCUUACCAAGCCUACGAUCUGUAGCUGGUCUGAGAGGACGACCAGCCACACUGGGACUGAGACACGGCCCAGACUCCUACGGGAGGCAGCAGUGGGGAAUUUUGGACAAUGGGCGCAAGCCUGAUCCAGCCAUGCCGCGUGCAGGAUGAAGGCCUUCGGGUUGUAAACUGCUUUUGUACGGAACGAAAAGCCUUCUUCUAAUAAAGGGAGGUCAUGACGGUACUGUAAGAAUAAGCACCGGCUAACUACAUGCCAGCCGCCGCCGUAA